UACGUAGGGUGCAAGCGUUAAUCGGAAUUACUGGGCGUAAAGCGUGCGCAGGCGGUGAUGUAAGACAGGUGUGAAAUCCCCGGGCUUAACCUGGGAACUGCAUUUGUGACUGCAUCGCUGGAGUGCGGCAGAGGGGGAUGGAAUUCCGCGUGUAGCAGUGAAAUGCGUAGAUAUGCGGAGGAACACCGAUGGCGAAGGCAGCCCCCUGGGCUAACACUGACGCUCAGGCACGAAAGCGUGGGGAGCAAACAGG
Molecule: ribosomal RNA, 253 nt
Filed under: uncultured bacterium
Lineage: Bacteria
Description: partial 16S ribosomal RNA
Rfam family: Bacterial small subunit ribosomal RNA
Source: RNAcentral